This is a long non-coding RNA of Cephus cinctus (wheat stem sawfly), 539 nucleotides long. RefSeq lists it as uncharacterized. The record is from RefSeq and is a predicted model, not a curated record. The transcript has 2 exons. Lineage: Eukaryota; Metazoa; Arthropoda; Insecta; Hymenoptera; Cephidae.
UCGUCUACCGCCAGGAGUCUCGCCAAUCGCGGGAAUAUUUUCUCUAACUACUAGCUAUCGUAGGUUAAGUGGUACCCGUGAGUCUAUUUCUCUUCCAUGCUGUCUUCCCUUUUGCCAAUUAACAUGCGAUCUAGAUGCACGAUAGAUUUAACACUAAAGUCUAGGCGACGGAACCCAUAGGCUGUGUGACUUGUCUUAUUAAGACGGACGAGUGGAAUAAUUUCGAAGCAAAGAAGAACGAUGAGCCCAGUAUGAGAAUCUUUGAUAUUUCAAACCUUCGUCAACUGGUAUGUGGAAUACGAAAUGUGACUAGAGGAUAUCCAACCUGGAAUAAACAAAUUGGCGAUGCAUCGACCGGAGCUGUGACGUCGAUCGGGGCUGAACUCGACGUAUAAAGAAAUACUAGAUAAGUGGAAUGAAUAUUUAUGGAGUUUGCGAUAUUACAUUAAAAGAUCAAUAGGUUCUUACAGGUGUGAGACACGCGUAUGUAUCCGAUUUAAAUUUAUAAAUACUGUUAUUAAAUCCUGAAGUUAAGUGAA